RNAcentral lists this long non-coding RNA (4069 nucleotides) under Sus scrofa (pig). RNAcentral's name for it is "lncRNA (ENSSSCG00055000428.1)". Lineage: Eukaryota; Metazoa; Chordata; Mammalia; Artiodactyla; Suidae. The record is from RNAcentral.
GCUGCUGGUCUACACCACAGCCCCAGCAACAUGGGAUCCGAUCUGCAUCUGCAACCUAUACCACAGCUCAAGGCAACACCAGACCCCUGGCCCACUGAGCAAGGCCAGGGACCGAAUCCGCAUCCUCAUAGAGAUGAGUUUCUGCUGCGUCACCACAGGAAUGCCUGUUUAUUUUUUUAGCUAAGCCUUUUUCUGGGAAGGGCUAGCUGAUGCAUCACUGUUAGCUCCAUAGGAAUUGUAGGAAGGACUUGAGAAAACAUUUUCCACUGUGAGGAAGCGUGACAGAAUUGCAUGGACAGGUGAAAAACAUUUACAGGUAAGGGGCUUGAAAAAUGGCUUUGCCGUGGUGCAGUGACCUGGGAAACCAGGCCCUCUCAUCUGUGCCUGGUAGCCCCCAGUGCUUGUGUAAAAAUAGGGUGGUAGGACAGGUGUACUAGCCCUGGUCUAAAAGCUCCAUGAAUCGCCAAGCAGGGCCAAGCUUUCCCGUUGGCUCCGGGUGCUCAGUACAUCUCUGUGCAGGAAGAUACUGUCUGAAAAAGCAACCUGAACCAUUCUCUCUGCCUGGCAGAGGGAUCGCCAGCCCCGCUGUCACCCCUGGGGAGUGAGGGGACAAAAAAGGAGAGAGGACCGAUGACCAUUAACAUUCGAUACCCAGAACCCUCUGUGGGUCUAGCUGCAUGAUGUCCUUGAGUCUCUGGGUGUGGCUGACAGGUGGACUCGGAGAGCUCCUUCUCACCAGACUCUAAGUCUCACAACUGAGGUGACAUGUGUGGCCUGUGAAUGCAUUAGGGGCUAACGUGUCAGAACUAAGGUCUCAAAGUGUUGGCUUAUGGGAGUUCUCUUCAUAGCUCAGUGGUUAACCCGACCAGGAUCCAUGAGAAUUUGGGUUCCAUCGCUGGCCUCGCUCAGUGGGUUAAGGAUCCAGCAUUACCACGAGCUGUGGUGUAGGUUGCAGAUGCAGCUUGGAUCCUGAGUUGCCACGGCUGUGGCGUAGGCCAGCAGCUAUACUCUGAUUAGACCCUUAGCCUGGGAACCUCCAUAUGCUGCAGGUGUGGCCCUAAAAAGCAGAAGAAAAAAAAAAGUGUUGGCUUAUACAAAACCAUCUUAAAAGAAGUAUUUGGUUCUAUUUGGUGUUUGUAAGAGUAAUAUUGGUAUCAGCUUAGGUAGGGUUUGCUGUGUGCCAGGCCCUCUUCUAGUCACAUGUAUGUUACAUAUUUAUACAGACAAAAGUGUUUUACAAAAUCUACAUAUUUACAUUUCAAAUUAUAUAUUAAAAUUGAUGUAUAUCUUUUAUUCCUCACAUGAGCCUUAUGACAUAGGCACUCAUGUGUUUUUCGGGGGAGGCAAGUGAGACGUGAAGUGAUUCAGUGAGGUGUCCAGGAUAAAUGGUACACCUGAGACUCUCAAACCCAGCUGAUCUGUUGCUGGAGCCAGUGCUGCUAACGAUUGUGUUGUUUCUAGAUUUGUUCGAGCCAAUUUUAUUUAUUUAUUUUUUUUGGCUUUUUAGGACCGUACCUGAGGCAUAUGGACGUUCCCAGGCUAGGGGUUGAAUCACCUGUCGGAGCAGAGCCACAGCAGUACCGGAUCCGAGCCAUACCUGCCACCCGCACCACUGCUCACAGCAAUGCUGGAUCCUUAACCCACUGGGUGAGGCCAGGGAUCAAACCCACGUCCUCAUGGAUACUAGUCAGGUUUGUAAUCUGCUGGGCCACAGUGGAAACUCCUGAGCCAAUAUUUUUUUUUAAAGAAUUAUUUAUUUUGAGCCAAAUUAUUUUAAUCGGGAGAUUUCAUACCACAAUCUGGAGCCAGCUUCUCUUGACAGGUCAGAAGAAUUGGGGACCCUGGGCUGUCCCCCUUGGGGGAGCAACUGGCUGGUGCCCAGUCAGCCCCCCCCGCCACCCCUCCUGCUGCCUCUUGUUCCUGGCUCCGAGUCCCUGCUCACUUGACCCGGUUCCCGUACCUAUUUGUACCUGCAGACAUUUCUGUUUUCAACCUCUGGGUUAAGCUUGAAAAUAUUUGUAGAUAUGACAUGUGUCCCAGUGUCAGGCCCUUGUCCUCCAGGAUGGCACGUAUUUUCAGCCUCAUUUUCCCUGUGAGGUCAUCACGCAGAGUGACCCAGUGAGCUCUGCUCCACAUCUGUGCUUGGUUCCUGUAUCAUUCCUUCUCACCUUGGGGUCUGGGGCUUCCUCUGACCCUGUUAGGGAUUCUCUGCAAAAGCUGAUAAUUAGAGCAGAACGUGUGGGACUGAAGCAGCUGAGUGUGAAAAGGCUAACAGCCCAGGUGUGUUUUUGCCUGUGCACAGACUAGGCAGCUACAGAGCAUGGUCGGCUCUCUACAACUAUUGAGUGGAAAAUAGACCAGAAAGUUAUAUACUUCUUUUUUCUUUUUUCUUUCGUCUUUUGAGGGCCACACCCAAGGCAUGUAGAGGUUUCCAGGCUAGGGGUCCAAUUGGAGCUCUUACUGCCAGCCUACACCACAACCACAGUAAUGCCAGAUCUGAGCCGAGUAUGCAACCUACACCACAGCUCACGGCAACGCCAGAUCCUUAACCCACUGAGCGAGGCCAGGGAUCGAACCCACAACCUCAUGGUUCCUAGUUGGAUUCAUUUCCACUGUGCCACAACGGGAAUUCCAAUGUAUACAUUUUUAAAUGUUUUAUUUACUGAGCUCCCCCUUCCCCCUCCUUAUUACUAGAGGAAAUAACCAUGCUUUUUCUAGCCUGUAAUCCAGGAUGAUUUGUCAUUGUUGUUGUUAAGAAAAUGCAGUGUGGCCCAUUUUCUCAAGCAAGUUGGUUUUAAGAUGCCCAGAAUUCUCUGCAGGUGUCUGGAGAGUUGGAGCAAAAGCACUCGCUAUCAAGAGCCACUGAGAAGGGAGGUUUGGGCUUGGUAAUUGUCUCAGCAGGUGGUUGGGGGUCCUUGACCUUCAAGAAACUUUUGUGUUGCCAGCUGUACCAGGGGGCUCAGGGGCUUAGUCUUCCCUCAUGGGAGCAGGUUUUCUUGUUACCUAUUAUAAGGCUGAAACCACCAUGUGAGGGUUUUUUGCACAGCCCCGUCUGCUUCCCGGUCUCAAUGUGCUGUGUUUGUUUUGUCCCCCCUCCGUGACCCUCAUUCCACAGAAGUUGUGUAUCUGGAAGAGUGACUUCCCUUUGGUCGUAGCCGCACGUGGGCUGGGUAAUCUGUAAAAUUCGGAUCGUGUUCAGUCAAUGCCAUGGUCAUUGACCGUGUAACUCAGGCAAGGCAGUGGGCUGGACUGCUACGUGGAAACACAGGCCACUAAGAGGUGGUCUGUGUCUUAAGGGACCCAGUUGGGGCAUAUAAAGCAAAAGCCUACAGGAGUGUAAUAGCUGUAGGAAAUGAAAACGUGAAUCAGAGGAGGAAGGGGGAAUACGCAGCCGUGAUGAAUUUCCAAGUGCAGGCCAAGAAGGGAGGUGAGCUAGAGAAAGUCUGGGUUCUCUUUGAUAAGAUUCCUUCCUGGAGAAGCUGGGGAGCCCGGAGUGAGUGUGCACAGCACAAUGAGAGGGACGCUUGGAAGGGGAACAAAGCUGCUUGUGUAAGUGCGACGGGGGAUGCUAGCCUCUUCAGCCGAGUCUGGAAAUUCAUUCUGUAACAAAGAGCUGUCAUUCCAAGUCAAUGACACCUUCUAAAUCCUCUCAGACUGUGCCCAAAAUUACAGAGAAGAAAUGGCAGGUCGAUUCCAUUUGGCCAGAACUGGGUAGCUGUGUACUUCGCUCACAUACCUAGAUCUAACGGAGAUGAGACAGAGUGGCCAGGCGAUAAAGCGAGUCAGUCCAGGAUGGGGAGGAGGCUGAUGCAGAACAGAUAACGAAGGGGCGAGAUUUGAAAGCAUGGCGUCUAAGUCUUGCUGUGUAAUGAACAGAGGAGAGUGGAGGGCUGAGAUCUGAGACCCCAGUGCACCUGUGUCUGGAGCUCCCCUGCCAGCAGCUUGGCUUCAGCUCUGGGAAAUGUGGGUGAGCUCCCUGGGAACCUGACUGCCUCGGGCCACCUUGACUGCUUGUUGAAAAGAGCCAAAGGCCAGUAUUUCCUCUAAAGGUCAUAGAUAGGUGGCCUGG